Molecule: long non-coding RNA, 8883 nt
Organism: Orcinus orca (killer whale)
Lineage: Eukaryota; Metazoa; Chordata; Mammalia; Artiodactyla; Delphinidae
Exons: 2
Source: RefSeq, a predicted model, not a curated record
GAACAUUUCCUUUAUCUCCAUUCCACGCCUCAAAAAUACUGAAUUGAUUUUCUGUGAUUUCCCUUUUCUGCCCUCCAUUGAAAGCCUUGAUUAUGUCCCAGUUUUCUGCAAAGAGAAAAUUUUUGCUGCUGAGUUAUAAAUUCUGCAGGUUCUAACUAGGUUUCAAUCGUGAGACUUUUAUUCCUCCAUUAAUACGGGCGUGUCACUCCCAUCAGGGGAACGCUUUUCUUAGAGGAAACAACAUUCUGCUUCCAUAGCGGCAAAACGAAAAAGAGGGAUGCGAUGUGUGAUAGAAGCCUGUACCCUGACGGGAGAGGAAAAAAAAGAACGAUGCUAAGUAGAUGUCACUUAUUGGCUGUUCUUGUGGAUAGGGAAUGUUGAAUUUCAAGUUUUCUAUUUUAAGCAGAGAAAGCAGACUUGUGCCUGACUGAUCCCUAUCGUGAUUGUUACCAUUCAAAUUCAAUAAGAGAAUGCAUGUGGAAGGGGCUGUGUAAAUGUAUGGGGCACCACACGUGGAAGAUAUUAAGGUUUCAGCCUUUAUUAAUAGAAGAUCUGCAUAUGUGCUAUGGUAGAUGGUCCCCCAGGACUCCACAGCCUAAUCAGAUGGUGGAAGGCAGAAGUACAUGGUGGUUUAAAACACAAACUAUGCAGAUUCUUGGGUUAAAUCUGACAGUGCUGCCCUGUCUAGCUGUACAAUGCUUUGGUCAGUUACUUAACUUUCCAAGUUCCAGAUUCCUCCUGUUUAAAAUGGGGAUAAUGCUAUUGCCCUCAUUGUGUUUGGAGAAUGGCACAGGAUAAUACACUCAUUAAUUGUCACUUUUUUUUUUUUUUUUUUUUUUUAUGCAGUACGUGGGCCUCUCACUGUUGUGGCCUCUCCCGUUGCGGAGCACAGGCUCCGGACGCACGGGCUCAGCGGCCAUGGCUCACGGGCCCAGCCGCUCCGCGGCAUGUGGGAUCUUCCCGGACCGGGGCACGAACCCACGUCCCCUGCAUCUGCAGGCGGACUCUCAACCACUGCGCCACCAGGGAAGCCCAAUUGUCACUUGUUUUGAAGAGGAUGAUAAUCAUGUUGACUCCUAAAAAAGACAAAAGAGAGAGAGGCUGGUCAAUAACAAGAGCAUAUUUACUUAUCGAAUUUUCUUAUGUAAGUUAGCAUCCAUUUCAUGGAUUGGAAGGAUAAAAGCAAAAUCAGACUAAAAGAAAUCCUAGACAGAUUUGGCCAGGCAAUGACACAGACAGCUGGUAGAUAUGGCUCCCUGCAGGAGUUGGGACUUGAAUGGUGGGAUGGUAGAAGGAAGCCACAAGUGAAUCCAGUAAUUUUUCCAUGAGACUCAUUGUAAUUUAAGAUCUGGUCCAGGUCUCAGUAAGCACCUGCUCAUCAGAGAGGGAGUGAGAUUUCCACAGAACACAACUGGAAGCAGAAGUGGGCUUAUAGGGGAAGACAGGGCUCUGUAUAGGCAGAGAGAAAGAGAGACAGACAGCUCUCAGAAUAGUCUUGUAAGAUCAGUUGUGGAUAUAGAGAGGGACUGGACCACCCUUGGCUUUGUCCUAUAAGCCAAUCCUUCAUGUUCCAGUCACUCCCAUAGUACAUCCUAUGGGAGGGACCAUUCAUAGUUAUUAGAGGUCAGAAAACAAAGUUUCCAGGUUGUUUAUUCUGGAAUUAGUCUUAUCCUUUCAAUAUAUUCUACAAGUUUCCCACCAGCCUUCUGAAGAAUAUCACUCCUCUGUGGAAUAGAAUGCUCUUCUCUGAACUAAAAGUAAGAUGUUUGUUUUGGAAGCAACAUAGAUUCAAAUAGCAAUAACAAUUCUUUGCGGAAAAGAAAAGCAUCUUUAUAUUUAUUCGGGUAAACAGAAAAAUAGCACAAUUGAAAUGAUUUUCCACCUGCCAAACAAAACGGUUUCCUUUUGUAAGCCGUGUUCCAUAUACAAGGGGGGUGGAAGCACAACACUGCACAGGGGGAAUGGUGAUGGAUUCAGCUAUCGAGGCCGCCGUGCCUGUCGAUGGGGGUUCACCUGGAUCUAUUAUAUCUCACCUCAGUCGAAGACAGUCAUCCUGCAUGUACCGGACCGAAGGUUCUGCUCUUUUGCAAAAGAGAUCUGGCUAAGCUGACCCACCAGUGUCCCCCAGGAUCACGGAGGCAGAACUCGGAAGGACAUGAAGGUUGCCUUUGACACCCUCACGGUUGUACUAUUUUCACUCUUCUGAAUUCUUAUGGCUUCUCUUCUCAGACCUACCCAGGGGCUCUGGCUCUCUCGUGGCUCCCUGAACCCUCUGCUGUGACAGUAAGCUUAGGUCCACCUUAAUUAAAAAAAAAAAAGUAGCAAUAAUGACAAUCACAGCGACUGACAUUGGCUCUUUCUCAUGUGCCUGAUGUUAUGCUAAGAAUCACAUUCACAUUAUCCUCCAUGACUUUCCUCAGCAGCUGUAUGAAGCGGCUCUGUGUGUGACAGACACCGUUGGUGCCCAUCUCCAUCUCCUUGCUCCACCCCAGGAAGCCUCCUGCGGGCAGUCUGGUCUCCUGCGUGAUGGCGGUGUCUCUCUGCCUGACAUGUGCUCUGGCCUCAUGGGAAGAUCCUCAGCCUAGUUGGGGGCUAAACGGGAAGUACCCAUGAAUCCUUGGCCCAGGAACAACCCUCAACCCUGGAAGAAUGGGAAUUCCUGUAUAAAUCCCCCCAGCUUCUUUUCCCUUUGCUGCGACAAUUCUGAAGCAAGUUCCCACAGUGUCCCAAAGGGUCCUCACAGGGGUUGAAAGAAGUGACCACAGUGGGAACCGCUCACUGAAGCCACUUGGACUGAUUUUCCCCCCCUCCCAUCUCACUUCUCCAGUGGUCCCAGGGAUUACCACUCAAACUUGCUCCCCAUUCUUGACUCAAGAUUUGCCCUUGGGGGAAUCCAAACUGAGAUCACACAUGAUUGUUCUUAUGUAACACAGGAGAAGUGGAGGCUUAGUGAGGCUGAACUGCCUGCUGUUGUAUAGCUGGUGGAUGGCCAGGCAAGACUCGAGCCAGGAUUAUUAUUAUUCUCUCCCUGCCUUAUUCUGCUUCCAUCAGAAAUAGUCUGGACCAAUUUUUCUAGUUAAAUAAUUGAAUUAAUUAAUAUAUAGCUUCUUUGCAAAAAGGACUUGAGUUUGCAGAGCAUAACUGAUAACUCCUUCCUUCCAUCAAAACGUAUUUUGCCUGGCUCCUAGCUCUAUUGAGAGUCAGGAUUCAGCUAAUAAUAUAAUUAAAGAUAAAUUUCAUAAAUUAAUUACUGUUGCAAUGCUAUUGUCUGAGAGUGGCUAAACAUACUGUAGUAUGCCUCUAGAGAUAUUGACACUUUACACGGGGGUUUUGAGAUUGCAAUGCAAUAACAUAGAGAAAGGACUCUGUGUGGAAUUUUCAACAUCUACUGGUCAAGGAGACCUUUUCUCCACGUCCUGAGAUGGGGCAUUUCCUGAACCUCUUAUUUCAUACCUCUAUCCAUCUGCUCACUCUGCUCACUGACACCGAUACUCUAUCUAAUCAUCAAGAUUCCUCCUGAACUGGAAGGCAGAUUUUAGUCCUUCCUGUGUGUUAGCCUGGUUCCUUCUGAGGGACAAAAACGUGCAGCCUUCCCUCUUUAACUCCCUGUCUCACCAGGGGACACAGCAGACCUGUUUACCUGCCUUGGUUUCCCAGCCUGUAAAAGAAAGACAACACCUGUUCCAGCUUGCUUUUCAGAGGUGAUGUGAAGAUAAAUGUGAGGAGGUCCACCAAGUCCUCAAAUUCUUGGGAUGAAAGAGGCCAUGUAAAUAGAACACAGUCUUAUUAUGAUUAAACUUUAAUGCAGCUGCUCUCAGGCCUAUAAAGGGAGCACAGUCUGGCUGGAAGGUAGGACUGCAGGGCUGUCCCCUCUCAUCAUUGCCCCCGUGAAUUCACCGUCCGGCAGCUCCAUCUUAGAAGUGCCCAUCCUUUCUGCUCAUUCAAUUUGGUUAUUAUUUUCAAGAGGUCAGUUAUGCAGUUAUGUUUUUGCCCUUCACAUUCUUCAGAUUUGGAUUCAGCUUUUAGAAAACACAUAUGUACAAGCUUACACGUAUCGUCUAAUAGAUGACCCAACCCCUGGAGGGCCUGGGGGCUAGAUCAUAACUAGACAAUUAGAUAUAAAUUCUACUCUGAAAACAAUAUUUUUGACCCUCUGCGUGUUUGUCUGUGACCUGAUACACACUCAAGCAUCAGUGGUUUUCAAAACAACAAACUAUACAGUUUUCCUUAUUGUGACAGAAUAAGAACUGCUGGAUUUCUCAGCAAAAGCAAAACAAAACAACCAUAGAAAACCACCAUCUUUUCCUUCCCAAAUUAAUUCUUUCAGUUUAUGCUCCUAACUCCAUAAAAAUGUGGUUUAGCUUUUGAAGUUUUUAUUAAUAUUUAUAAUGCCCAUUUGGUGCCCUUGAACCUCACAGAAACAGAGCCCUGAAAUGAAUACCCAGCUUCUUGGUGGUAGGCUACCCAAGCCCAACCAUAAACUUUAACAUUUACGCAUAUAUAUUUGGCUUUGCUUUGUUUUUCCUGUCUCUUGAUGUAGAAGAUUUAAAAAAAAACCCACUUUUUAAAAUGCAAAUUUUAAUGGCUUAUAUUUUAAUUUCAAGGGUAAUACAUGCUUAUAAAAAAUACAGAUGUGCAUAUAGAAAUAAAGGAAAAGUCUCUCUUUCCUGAUCCAUUUCUAAAAUCUCUGUGCCAAGAAGUAAACCAUAUACUUUAAAUCCUUUCAAAUUAGAGUUCUGUUGGUUUGAGAAAUUGAAAUUGUCUGAAGAAGCUAGUAAAGAGUCAUAUUUCUCUCUUUUAUCUCUGAAUAGGAAUGUAAUAAGAAACUGUAGAAAGUUUUGAAAAUACAGUGAACUAUAAGAAAUUAAAAUUGCCUGUAAAUUCACUACCCCUCAAAUAACCAAUUUUUAACAUUUUAUUGUAUUUCUUACAGAAUUUUCCUGUGCAAAUAUGAAUAAAUAACAGGACUCUGCUUCACCUUACCCCCUCAGCACUGUAUUAUGACAAUUUUCCAAUACCCCCAAAACAUACUUUUGAAUGGCAGUAAAAUAUUCCAUUGCAAUUUCUUCAUUUAAAAUCAUUUCCAAAUAGUAAGGGGGGGGGGUGGGAUGCGGAAUGCUUCUCCCUCUCACCUCAUGUUUCUAUGAUUGGAGGUGAGGAGGGCUUCCCCUCCGCUGACCAGGAAGGAGAUGUGUAUGCAGAACACUGACUUGGGAUCCUCUCUGGAUCCCAAGGUGGAACGAGUUCUUUGGCUGGUGACGUGGGAGAAGGUAACAACUCAGUUAUUCCCACCACGACCCUAUGAAGUCCCCAGACUUCUCGGUUCAGCCCCUUCAUCUCCUUGGAGCAGCUGGUCUCCAGGAUGCAGCCAGCUUCUCUGUUUCUCUUAUUCUCCAAAUAAGACUCACUUCUUUGGGCCACAGGCUGAGCUGCUUCUCUAAUCCGGUUUAAUCAACAAUUAGGAUUAUGUAUAGAUGCUCAUCAGUUAGAUUCCUGUGUUUACCUCUCACCCAGUUCCUGACACAGACGGAGAGCGAUAAGUGAGUCAAGAGUGAAAGUGUAACUUAUUAUACCCCAUACUGCAACUAAUACUCCUAUAGUUAACAUUUAUUUAGUAUUUACUCCCUUGCCAAGCUGUGAUUUCUCAUAACUCUCCCAACAACACUGUGAGGUUUGGUGUUAUUAUUCUCAUUUUAGGGAUGAUAAAACUGAGGCAUGGUGACAUCCCUAGCAAGAGCUGGAACUGGGAUUUGCUCCCGUGCUCCUAAUCACUUCUCUCUAUCUCCUUUCAUCUAUUCUAUAUCAUAAAUAACACAUGAACUUUUUUUGAACAUAAAUUCCAGCUUGAACUUGUAAACUACCCAAUGCUGUCUCCCACUAUUGAAUACAUCUAUCAUUACUUUUGCAAUAUUUUAUUGUCAUUAUAGAAUGCCUUUUAAUGCUGCUUAUAGUGACAUUUUUUUGCUAUAAAGAUUUCUAUUUCUCUUCAGUUAAUCUAUUCUUAUUUUCCUUCAUGACUUAUUCCAUCUUGACUUUUGUGCUUUUGUCCUUGCCCUCCCCAAUAGAUUUCACCAAUCUUUUACUCUAGCUUCCUAUGGUUUUAUUUUAGAAAUAUAACUUUUACCAUCCAGAAAUUAUUUUAUAUAAGAGAGACUAAGUUUUGUUUGUUUGUUUUUUUAAGAAAAAAAUUAUUUGGCUCAGUACCAUCCUUUCUCCACUGAUUUAUGAUGUGUAUACCUUUUUCUGAUCUCUGUUUUUCCCCACUGCACUAUAUGCUGAUUUUUCUUUAAUUUCACUGUUUUUGUUUGCUUGUUGAGUUUUUACUGUAGCUUUAUGAUAUGUUUUAAUAUUUAGAAGGAUAAGUCCCUUCUCAUUACUCUUAUUUUUAGAAACUUGUUUGUUAUCAUCAUGUGAUAUUCUUCCAUAUACAUUUAAAAAUAUUUUAUCAAGUCUGAUCCCUAAAUUCUUACUGGGAAUUUAAUUGAAUAUAGUUAUAUUUGCAGCUCAACUUGGAAAUAUUUAAUAACUUUCAAAAUUCCUUUUUCCACCUAGGAUCAAUGUGAUUUAUUUUUUUAAAAUACUUUCUUUUGAAAGCCUCAGAAGUGCUGAAUUUAUCUUUGUAUAGGUGGCAUUCUUUCUUGUCCAGUUUAUUUCUAUUUUUUAAAAAUUUUUGAGGCUAGCAGGAAUGGAAUCUUAUGUAACUAGUUAUUAUGGUUUAACAUUGUUUAAAAUAACUCAUUAUUGCUGGCACUGGACAUUUUUUUAAAUGUUUAUUUUGUUGUGGCUUCUUUAUUGAACUCAUUAUUUUUAAAGUUUUUCCUUAGUUCUUCUUGCUUUGUCUAUGUAUAACUGUGUCACUUAAAAUAAUGAUGAUUUUUGAUACUUACACUUCUUACAUAUGUUUCAUUUUCAUUUCAUUGACUGGAACUUCCAGAAUAAUGUUAGAUAAUAGCAGUUAUAAUGGCCGUCCUUAUUUUGUUUCCAAUUUUAAGAGAAUGCCUAUAGGGUUUCACUGUAAGUAUGUUGCGUGUUGCUUUAGGAUAACAUUUAAUAUAUUUACGUCGAUUUUAACAGAUAGAUUUCAAUUAGACAUUUAAAGAAAUAAUAUUUCUAUUUAUAAAAAAAUUUUUCUUUUUAACCACAAAGACUAGAUGUUGAAUUGUAUUAUAUUGUUGUGUUUUUGCCUUAUUUGUAUUUUUAAAUAUUAAAUAUUGCAUUUUUAGAAUAAUAUUAAAUAUUAUUUAAUAUUUAUAAAUAUUAUUUAAUAUUAUUUAAAUUUAGAAUAAUAUUAAAUAUUGCAUUUUUAGAAUAAUACCUACUGAUGAUGUGUUGGGUGGCAAGUCUUCAUGGGUCUCACACAUUUCUGUGUAUCUUGUAAGCAGAGGCACUGACUGCUCUUUGUUUCAGAAUAUCUUUUCAUGGAUGGAGAUAGUCUUUCCCUCCAGAGCAAAGGGCAGGUUUGCUUAUAGCCUUGAAGAUAUAGUGUCUCCCUCUGGAGCAAACAGCAAGCAUGCUUACUGUCCACUAUAAUAAAGAUAAUGUCUCCCUCUGGGGCAAUGGGAGGAUGCUUAUUGCCCACUUUUAAAGACUCAAGUUUCCUAAGCUCAGGGUUCCUCUCCUGUAAAGCAACCCACUGAAUGUGCAGGCAUCUACCUGGGCCUAUGUUGCAUCAUCCCCCUGAGAAUGGGGGGCACUGACAUACAUACUGAUGCUCAGGCUGCUUCCUGUGCUAUAAGUAAUAAAAUCUUUUGUCUCUGACCCCAAAGUCUCAUUUCUUCUGCCACAUGAAACCAUGGCAGGCUAACUUGUCUGCUGUAAGUAGGGUAAAAGCUCACAGUCUUCAUUAUUUAAUUAUGAGAUCCCAAUUUCAAGAAAUUUACUUAUGAAUUUAUAUCUAUACUCAGAAGUAGUAUUGGUUUGUAAUUUUUUCCCCACGUUAUCUCUUUUUUUUUGCGGUACACGGGCCUGUCACUGUUGUGGCCUCUCCCGCUGCGGAGCACAGGCUCCGGACGGGCAGGCUCAGCAGCCAUGGCUCACAGGCCCAGCCGCUCUGCGGCAUGUGGAAUCCUCCCGGACCGGGGCACGAACCCGUGUCCCCUGCAUCGGCAGGUGGACUCUUAACCACUGUGCCACCAGGGAAGCUCCCCAUGUUAUCUUUAUUAGGUUCUUAUGGCUAAGCUCACCGUGAAAGGGGUCUGAAAGUUUUCCAUCUUUUUCUGUGCUAAAAUGGUAUAUGUGAUGGGCAGAUUAUUUAAGACUUGCAAAGACUGGUAAAGUAGUUUUGACUUAGAAACGUUAUUAGAAUUAAUUAAUCUUUUUUUCCACUGACAAAGUCCUAUUCAAUUUACUAGUCUUAAUGAGUUGAUUUUAGCCAUUUCUAUUUUCCCAGAACAUUAGUGAAUUUUGAAAGUUUAACACAAUAUUAUAUUGUAUAAUUUAAGAGUAUCUCUCAUAUCUCUAGUUCUCUCAUUUCUCAUUUUAUGUAAUUUUGUCUUAAGUUAUUUAUCUUUUUAACUUUUUUUCUGGACUUGCCAGAAUAUGCUUGACUAUUACAUUUUUCUGUGUUUGCUUUCAUUACUCUUUGCUUUAAUUUUUGUUAUUUAUUUCCUUCUGCUUUCAAAAAAUAUUUUUACUUUCUAACUUCUUAAAUUUAAUUAAGCUUAAGUCUUUUACUUGUGUUAGUUCUGCUCUAAUAAAGCAAGUAUAGAAAUUUCCUAUCUCCUCUGACUAGUUUUAAAUCUAUUGUUUAGAUUUAAUAUGAAAUGUUCUAAUAUUCAAUUUUCUAACAUUCAUAUAAUUUGUAAACACAAUUUUUAUCUUUUCUUUGAUCCAAGUUACUUAUGUAUGUUUUCUAAUUUACAAAUAAAGUUUCCUUUCUUAAAA